ACGAACGCUGGCGGCGUGCUUAACACAUGCAAGUCGAACGGAAAGGCCCUGCUUUUGUGGGGUGCUCGAGUGGCGAACGGGUGAGUAACACGUGAGUAACCUGCCCUUGACUUUGGGAUAACUUCAGGAAACUGGGGCUAAUACCGGAUAGGAGCUCCUGCUGCAUGGUGGGGGUUGGAAAGUUUCGGCGGUUGGGGGUGGAGUCGCGGCUUAUCAGCUAGUUGGUGGGGUAGUGGCUUACCAAGGCUUAGACGGGUAGCCGGCCAGAGAGGGUGACCGGCCACAUUGGAGCAAAGAUACGGCCCAGGCUGCUACGGGAGGCAGCAGUGUGAAAUAAUGCAAAAAAGGCGGAAGCCUGAUGCAGCAACGCCGCGUGCGGGAUAACGGCCUUCGGGUUGUAAACCGCUUUCGCCUGUGACGAAGCGUGAGUGGCGGUAAUGGGUAAAGAAGCACCGGCUAACUACGUG
This 467-nucleotide ribosomal RNA is filed under the name uncultured bacterium. RNAcentral's name for it is "partial 16S ribosomal RNA". It matches the Rfam family "Bacterial small subunit ribosomal RNA", at positions 29 to 507 of the family's 1533-position model. The record is from RNAcentral.